This 10925-nucleotide long non-coding RNA is filed under the name Ricinus communis (castor bean). RNAcentral's name for it is "long non-coding RNA (RCOM_LNC000173)". Lineage: Eukaryota; Viridiplantae; Streptophyta; Magnoliopsida; Malpighiales; Euphorbiaceae. The record is from RNAcentral.
CAUAAAUAGUGUGAACGUGGCCACGUGCCAUGAGCUGAAAACGUACCUACACUUGGUGAAUGGAUUCGUAAGCUCAUCUUGUCCAUUUAGAGCAACCGCCAAGAGAGUCCUUAGUAAACAUAGAAGAUAACAUAAUAACAAAAUAAUCAGUUAGAAUCAGAGAGCUAUCAGCAGAUAAAAGGCGACAAAAUAGAGUCCGUACAGCACAAGUCCUUUUUCUUUUUUUUGGGGUGAUAAAAGGUGUCAAUAUUCUUUUCCAACAAAACUACAUUCCCUCCGUUAUUCAUUGGACAAGCCUAUCUAUAAUCUUUCCCAGAAAAUACAUAUUUUUGUAACACGCAUAUAUGCCAGGGUUCAAUUUUAUUAUUUUGUUGAAUUUUCCUUUUCAUAUGCAAGAGAUUUAGAUUUUAUUUUCAUGGGUCAAAACAAAUGAUUCUUUAAUAAUCCUUACAGAAUAAAAAUGGUAUACUUCAAUAGCUACCAAGCAUUAAUUACCCUAUGGAUCACAAUGAGAGAGAGAUGUUAUCCUAGUACCUUAGAUUUAAAACAAGACUUGUUAUUCUAGCGUCUAUCCGACUACUGUUCCAUCACAUGGGAAUAAGGGAAGACAAAUAAACAAAUUGAUUUACGUUGAACAGUCCUCGCUUAAUUUACAUUUUGAAAUUUCUCGUCUUUCUCCGAAUGUAAGAACCAAAGAUCCUGCAUGCAUCAAUAAACUCUCUUCAAUUCAAGUAAGAUAUUUUAUGUAUGUAUGUAUACUCCAAAANNNNNNNNNNNNNNNNNNNNNNNNNNNNNNNNNNNNNNNNNNNNNNNNNNNNNNNNNNNNNNNNNNNNNNNNNNNNNNNNNNNNNNNNNNNNNNNNNNNNNNNNNNNNNNNNNNNNNNNNNNNNNNNNNNNNNNNNNNNNNNNNNNNNNNNNNNNNCAAUGCCCCACUGUUAUUGAAUUGGCUUCUUUGACGUCUAUCUAAUUAAGCUUCCACCGCCCAUAUAAUUGAAUGGAAAAAUAAAAUUAUUAUGAUACACGUACUUAAACUUUGUAUUGCGGUGGUGUGAAAGUUUUUAAGUGGAAUCGGAGAAGUUGGACUGGAAGAAAUCCUGAGGCUGAGGCUGUCAUACAAGCCACAGUAACUAGCUAGCUAGCCCCAGUAACCGACCUAUUGCAAAGACAAGACAAACUGAUGAUGUGAUUUCAACUGUUAAUUAACACUCAAAGAAAGCUAACACAAACAUAUUAUUUUCAUAAAACAUGAAACUUUCAGUUUAAAAAGUCAAUUCAGAAAAGAAAAGAAGUCUAAAGUAAGCAUUUGAUUGUUUGAUGCGGGCAAAAGUCCAUGCGUGUCUUGGGUUUAUUUGAGAUUUUUUUAAUGCCCAUACUCCUGGGACUGAUUUCCGGGGCUAACUUGAGCAACUUUUCUACAUAAUUUACCACAAAAACCCAAAUGUCAAAUUAAUUUUACGUAUAAACUGAUUUUCAUACAUUAAUCUCUUUCCUUCCUAUUACAAAUUGUGUGAAUAAAAAAUAAAAAUAAAUAUAUAUAAAUAAUAAUUUAUUUGUUCCUUUAAUAUAUAUUUCAUUUGAAUAUAGUUAGCUUUGUUUUGUGGUUUCUAUUUAAAACAAUUAUAUUGAUUGGAGUUCCGGUUUUGAGCCCCACUUUCCCUUUCUCAUGAUAAAUAAAACUAUCUUUUUACAUUCUUGCCCCACCAGACACUUUUUCCUUUUUCAAAAAAAUGCCUUCUUUUUAUUUAUUUUUUCAUAAAAAAUAUGGCAUCAGCUAUACUUGAAUUUUUUAUUAUUUUCUCUCGUUUCAAUUUUAACACAUAUACUUACUUUUUAAUAUUUUUAAUUGUUGAUAAAUCACGUGAGAAAAACUGUUAAUAAAUUAGGCAACAUAAAAACAAACAGUGUACUUGUUAAUCUUUUUGAGGUAUUAUAUUUAAUAAUGUUUUAAUCAAUUGUUUUAAGUCACCGGCCACUUAAAUGAAUAAAAUAAAUUAUAAUGAUUGAUGAGAUGCGAGAAUAAUUAAUUUAAUAGGGCACAAGUAUCACAUGACUGAGCCCUAACUUUUUUAAUACUAUACUAAUAUUCUAUUAACUUCAACUGAAAAAAGCGGUAUUAUAUAAUUUAGCGGUUGUUGUGAUCGAAAAAUGCUGAAUUGGAUCCCCUAUUUGAAUUAGUACCAACCAUCCGGCAGUCUUAUCAGUCAGCAGGCCAACCAUCUAACCANNNNNNNNNNNNNNNNUUAAAUAUAAAAUUAUUAUACUCUUAUUUAUUGUGAUGUACACAUUAAAGAAUAAAUUACAUUAGUAGAAUUUUAUUUUUAAUAACAACGAUGAAUUUUUUCUAACAAGUGAUUAUAAAUUUCAUGAGCGGUCAUCAAACUUUAUAAGAAGUAGUAAGACUAUAUUAAAUUUUUAAUUUCAUCGAGUCAAUUAACAAAUUAAAAGUUUAAUAUUUUUUUUAUUAUAAAGCACAAAUUUUAGUGAUUAUCUACGUAAGUUAUUUACUAAAUAUGCGAGGAAAAUUUAUUGAUGUAUUAAAAUUAAAAUUUAGCAACCAUUUAAUUAAACAUCGAAGGUUUGCUAACUUUUUAUUAUAAAGUCCAAAGUUUGAUAAUUACCUAGAAGAAUUUCAAAAAAAAUUGUCUCCAAGUAUUAGAUCCAAAUUUGGAUGAAACUGUUCAUACCUUCUUAAAAGUAAAUUCUGGGCUAGCAACCUUAAGAACAUAUACUUGUCUCUCCAAUUCUAAGAAUAACGACCUACCCAGUGAAGUGUUACUGACCAAGGGAUAUACAAGCAGCUAGCAUUUGCUUUCUAUAUGACAGUGUGGAUGAUUGCAAUUUACUGCAUCUUACUGAUUUCUGAAUUCUUUUUGUUAUUGUUUAUUAAGUCAGUUUUCUAUUCCUGUUAAUUUUAGGGUAGACCGAGUUCGUAGCGAAUUAUCAAAUAUGUAAGAAUGGUAGGAGUUUUACCUGUUGGACAUGGAAUAGCAACAGACAGCCAGUCUAAGAGUCCAAAAUAUGGCUGACCCUGAUCCUGGAAGAAAGAAAAGAGGUCAAACCGCCAAAUCUAUUUCCUCCAAGAGAACAAGCAAAUUGCGGCUACAAAAGUACAAAUAUAAUUGGUCAUCAGUCUUCACAAUCAAUGCCAAACUUAGACCACGAACGUGGAGUAUUAAAGGCAAUAAGUCAAAAAUCAAAUCUAAUACCAUAUAACAAAAUAAAGAUAGCAACACUAUUAGACAGGAACAUCAAGAAAACAUGCAGCGUUCAAACUCACAACAAUACCAAUCAAGCCACACCUUACUUCUCCCUAUGCUCUGUUGUCUCUCUAACAGCUCUCAGAUUCCUAUGGAGGUUUUACUUUGAAGUCUUCAAUACCUUAAUUAAUUCAAACUGCAGGUUAAGUUUGAGUUAACCAAGUUCAACUAGUAGAAUCGAUACUUCACAACUACCCUCUCUCUCUCUCUCUCUCUCCCAUUUAUAAUACUUUCACAUAAGGUAGUUUGUAAUUAUUUAUACAUUGCUCCAGCUCCAUGUUGUGUAGAAUAGAUCAUAGAUGGACUCAUUCCUGAAAGCAAGAUAAAACAAGCAAAACUUUCUACUUAUUUUCAUAGACUUUGGUGUCCAUUUUGUUUUACGUUUACCUUUUGAUACUUUUCUUUCUUUCUUUUUUUCUUUUUAUCCUGAGUGUUAAAGCAAAAUAAAAAUAGUCCUCAGGCUCAGUCAAUCCCUUUCUUUGUAGGGAAAAUGGCCUUCUUGCAGAGCAACGAGAAACAAAAUAAUUGGAUAAUAUACAAUACUACUUGCUGCAUAUAUAGCUGUGACGCACCAAUAUUUUAUACAUAUGUAUACCACCGUAGAAGAGGGCUACGGAAAAAGACCCUUAACUAAUGUGAUUCAUGAGUAUCAAUCGGUUUCCAUCAGUCUUUUUCAUUAGCCCCUAACCUCCGUUGUCACACAUCUCAAAAAGUUUCCAUACUAGCCAUCUCCUAAAAUAGCAAGCUUUUUCCUAAAAUAUCAAAGAAGAUCGACCCACCACUGGCAAUACUCCUCAAUUCAUUUCACGCCCAUAAGUAGCAAACCAGUCAAGAUUUAAGCCGAAAAUGUAUGAAAGAGGGGAAUUGAAUUGCAAAGUGUAAUGUCGGUUUGUCUUAUCAAAUCAUUCAAUUGCACCGUAUGGUAUCAUUGGUCAAUGGUCACUCUUAAACCGAAAGAUUUAAAAUCUAAGUACAGAAAAAUGUCGAGGAGAAUUACAUGACCAAUGAGAUUCUCAUUGUAUGUGACGACGGUGACAAUUUCAAACUUAUUGCUGCUACCGUGUGUCACUUUAGCUUUUGAUUUUGAGUAGAGUUAGUGGCCAUUACGCUACAAUGGGGUUGCAACAAUCUUUUAGUGUAUAUGUUUCUGAAUUUAGACAGAUAUUUUAUAAUUCUUAUGUUUGAAAAAUUAACAAAUAUUCAAUUACUUGAAUUCAAUGCUUAAAAAAAAAUAAAAAUCAAGAUAACAUUUCUUUUGUGCUUCCAAAAAGAAUAAAUCAAUGCUUACAAGUAAGAGAAAGUUGAUUAGAAUUACACAAGUAAAACUCAAUUUAUUCAACGAAACUGAUUGAAAGAGUUAAUUUAUUUCCUCAAUAAAAAAUGAAACUUAUGUCAUUUAAUUGGUUAAAAACGACGUGAAAUUUAAAUAAAUUCAGUUUNNNUGUAUCCACCUGAAACCACUGAUCAACCCUAUAUGCGAUGAUCUAAAUGUUAAGAAAACUGAGACAAGUCAACAACAACUGCUCAACAGAUUAAACAAAUUAAUAAAUCAAAGUCUGUAGCAAAUGAUUAUUAAAGAUUAGAUCAAAUUGUCAAUUUUCAGACUGGACCAGGCAUGAGGAUAUAUAGCCAAAAAGCACCGAAGUUGCCUUUUGUUUGUAAGAUGGAACUCAGCCAAUGAAAAGUGCAGAUUGAGGAAUGCCAAAAUAGAUAUGAAAGGAAGUUCUACAUGCGGCCACCGAGUUAACAAAAAGAAAAAACAAGACAUGCACGCAAUUCACUGUCAGCAGAACCUCAGUUAUAGCGGUGCAACUUUCCACUAGCUGUUUAUACUGAUAGAUGGUCCUUUAAAAGUUUCAAUCUUUUUGUUAAAAACUAUUAAAAAGAUUAAAAUAAAAAGACACCUGCCCCAUGCAAGAUGUUAAACUGCCAAUUAAUUUACAUUAUUUUCGCAAAUCAGGUUGACAUCUUAAAUCUAUUAUUUAUUUCCACCGAGUGAAAACUUUCAUUUUUUUAACAAAGGUAAACUGAUUCUAAAAGCUUUAGAAACUUAAUAUCAUUAACAAAGUCUUCAAAUAUCAAGGAGCCUUUAAAUUUGAGACAUAAAGGUCUGAAGUUUAAAUUCUCAUUUCUUAUAUAUUGACUCAUUAAACUUCCCAUAAAAAAAAAAAAAAUCACUACAUGACUUUCAAAUCUCAUUUAGAAUGUCUUUAGAAAAAAAAGAAAAAAAAUUAAGUGGGGUCACUAAUUUUUAAAUUUAAAACUUUUAUUUGUAAUUAAAUUUUAUCAAUUUUAAUUUUAAUAACACUAGAUAAAUUUUUGUGGCACAUUUAUAGCAUUUCUAACAAUGUUUUAUAUAUAUUUUUCUAUUAAUUUAUGAAUAAUUAAUUAUUAAUUUUAUUUAAAAUAUACACGUAUUUUUCGAUAAUAAUUCUAUUUUAUCUUUUAAUUAAUUUUUUUAUUAAUAAAAUAAAGAAAAGAGAAAUGAGUAAAAAAAGAAUGUGAUUUUUAAAAAGAUUAAAAUAAUUAACUAAGAAAGAGAAAUAAUAAAAUAUAUUUGAAAAUCAUUUUUUUUAUUUUUAAUUUAACGAAAGAGAAUGAAAACUCUUAAGUUAUUUUAAAAAAGCAUAGUAAAUUAACAAAUAUCACAUGGAAACCUAAUUUUGCAUAUAUUUACUAUAAUAUUAAUAAUUUGUUAAAAAAUUUAAAAAAUAAAUUAAAUAUAAAGAGUCGAUAAUUUUUCUAGUAUCCUCUUGAGUAAAGAUUGUUCAUAGAAUUUAUUUUUUAAAAAUAUUGAAAUGAUUUAAUAAAUUAAGGUUUUAUAAUAAUAAUUCAGUUAUAAAUUAAAAUUUUAUAUCUUUUUAUUCCGAAAUAUAAAUUCUAAUAACUUCCUUUUCAUGAUUUUGUCUCUCUUUUCUUCUUUUUAACCAAACCAUAAAUAUCAAAACAUGUGGGAUAUUAAAAUAUCAUAUCGAGAGUGCACUUAUUAAAUCUCUACUCAUAAAUAAAAUAAUUAUUUUAAUUUUUAUUUAUUUUAUGAAUUCCUUAAAAUAGAUAUCAAGUAAGAGAGAAUAAUAAAUUUGUUAAAGUAAACUCAUAAAAUACCUUUUAUUGACUUUACCUCAUUUCAGAUAAAGCCUAAAAAGUAUCCCAAGAAGUAAUUUUUCUAUUCACCUCUUUAUUUUAGCUUGUUUGAAGAGUUGUACAUGUUUUAGAAAUAAUCGAAAUAUUUAUAAAAAUAAAAUUAAUAAAGGAAGAAGGAAGAUAAAGCAAAAUAAAAUAAAAUUCAUUUAAAAGUUAAUUUUCUAUUAUCUAUUUUUUUUAGGAAUAUGGAUCUUAAAAAUUUCUAAAAUUUAAGUCGUGAAUUAAAAAAUGUAUUACAAAAUAAAGUUGAAAGACUAUUGAAAAUACUCUCGAGUUAUUGAUUAAGUCAUUUUACUUAGUUAUGUAUUAGUUUUGGUAAGCCCACAUUAUUUAUUCGGGCUCGAGGAACAAUUAGUUGAAAACCAGAAUAACAAAAAGAUUCAUCCUGAUUUAUUAUAAUUAAGAAAAAUGCAAAACGAGAAUAUAAAAAUAAAAAAUAAUCCACAAGAAAUAUAAAAAUUUUAAAAUUAAGGAUAAUUAUAAAAAACAGUAUGUAAAUUUAUUAAUAUUUAAUAAUUAAGUAUUAUAUUUCUAAAAAUAAUAAUUUUUAUGAACCAAGUAUUUACAACAUAUUAGAGAUAAAUCGUAAAUUAUUUAGCAGCAUUUGAUUUGUUAGAUUUGAAAUGGGGAUUGGAGAAUAUCCCUUCUAUUCUUUGAUCUUUAUCAAGAUUAUUUCUACAAAUAUGUAUAUAUUUGAGGGAAUAGUAUAUCAAUACUAUGUCUGCUAAGAAUUAAUCUAAAGUUUCAUAAUUAUUUUUUUUCUUAUUAAUUGAACCAUAUGUUUGUCGAAUUCAAGAUGUUUCAUUUAGUAUCCUAAAUCGUCAACCUAUACCCACCAAAGACAUCUAGUGGUCUUUUUACAUCCUUUUUCAGAAAUGUUAUCACCGAAUUCUAUGCAACUACGGAGGAAUAAAAUGCUUCGCUCGUGCUAAAUGUUUGCCUCUUGGUAUCAAAUUUUCUAUUUGUUAUUUUUCGGUACCCCUCUUAUUAUUUAUGUUAUUUCCACGAGUACUAAUAAGGAUUUUGACAGUUAAUUGAUGAUGUGCCUGCCAAAUUUAUAAAAAACCACAGACCACUUGACACACGUUUUACUGACUCUUUUAUUUAAUCAUAGUCAGUAAAUUACUUGUGUCCCACCCCCAAAUAAAUAAUCCUAAAACAUUUAAUAUUUUCCUUUACCUUUAGCUAAAAAAUUUGUCUCCAUUGAACCGGUCAAAUUCUCUUUCUAAAUCCAAAGCAAAAUUUCCACAAGAUGAUAAUGGAUUGGUCUCAUCUCCCACCUGAACUCAUAGAAACAAUCUCCAAAGGCUUAGCAAUCUACAGUGAUUACCUCUAUUCACGCUCCUGUGGCUCAUGCUCCCCCAAUCCCAAUCUCAAUCUCAAUCCAACCAAUCACGCCACACGUUUUUUCAGUCUUUCCACAAACAAAUUCCACUUUCUCAACCUCCCUAAAGUCUCCUAUCGCAAAUGAUAUUGCGGCUCUUCUCAUGGCUGGCUCAUGAUCCUCGACGACACACCUACAACUCUCCUUAUUAACCCUCUCACGCGAGCCGCUCUCUUUGCCUCCCCUUUCGAGUUUUCCUAAUGUUAUUAGCUUUAAUUACUCUGGUAUCGGCCAAGAAUACGCGCUUCAGAACUUGCUCGGCAAACGCGUCACCGUUAGCUUGAGGCAAAUGCGUGAUUUGUUCAUUAGAAAAGUUGUUCUAUCUUCAAGUCCGUUGAAGGAUAACAAUUUCGUGGUUAUGGCAAUUCUUAAUCUACAACUAGUUCAAAUGGAUGUAAAAACUGCAUUCUUGCAUGGUGAUCUGGAAUAGGAAAUCUACAUGGAUCAGCCUGAAGGAUUUAGGGUGGCAGGAAAAGAAAAUUUGGUGUGCAAAUUGAACAAAUCUUUGUAUGGUUUGAAACAGUCACCAAGGCAGUGAUACAAAUGAUUUGAUAAGUUUAUGAUGAGGCAAAGAUGCACAAGAAGCAUAUAUGAUCAUUAUGUAUUCUUGAAAAGGCUGUAGGAUGGAUCCUUUAUCUAUCUUCUCCUUUAUAUUGAUGAUAUGCUGAUUGCAUCGAAGAAUAUAGGAGAAAUUGAACAGUUAAAGGCUCAACUAAAUCAAGAGUUUGAAAUGAAGGAUUUAGGUGAAGCUAGAAAGAUUCUUGGUAUGGAGAUAAGUAGAGAUAAAAAAUUGGAGAGACUUUGUUUAACUCAGAAGGAAUAUCUGAGAAAGGUAUUGAAGCGAUUUGGAAUUGAUGAAACGACAAAGCCUGUCAGUACACCACUUGAUCCUCAUUUUAAAUUCAGUGCUUCUCAAUCUCCAAAGAAUGAUGAAGACCGAGAAUAUAUGUCGAAGGUUCCAUAUGCAAAUGCAAUUGGUAGCUUGAUGUAUGCUAUGGUGUGCACAAGACCUGACAUUUCACAAGCAGUCGGAGUUGUGAGUAUGUAUAUGCAUGAUCCUAGAAAAGGACAUUGGCAAGCUGUGAAAUGGAUCCUAAGGUAUACUCAGAAUACUGUGGAUGUUGGAUUAAUGUUUGAGCAGGAUGAAAAGUUUGGUCUGAGUGUGGUUGGAUAUUGUGAUUUUGACUACGCAGAUGUUUUGGUAAAACGUUGGUCAACUACUGGUUAUGUGUUUACACUUGUAAAAGCACCAGUUAGUUGAAAGUCUACUUUGCAGUCAACGGUUGCUUUGUCUACAACAUAGGUAGAGUAUAUGGCAGUUACAGAAGCUGUAAAAGAGGCAAUUUGGCUUUAAGGGUUGGUGAAAGACUUGGGAAUUGAUAUGAAGCACGUCAAAGUGCAUUGUGAUAGUUAGAGUGCUAUCUGUUCAGCUAAAACCAAGUCUAUAUUCAAGGAUAAAGCAUAUCAAUGUUCGUUAUUACUUCGUGAGAGAAAUUCUUGAAGAAGGUAAGAUAUUUCUUUAGAAGAUUCCAACUGCUGAAAAUCCUGUAGGUAUGACUACGAAAGUAGUAACUGGAGUCUUGAUAAAUAUUUUGAAAAUUUGAAGAUGGGCGCUUCAAACGCAUUUGAAGGCAUUGCUAAAUUUGUAACGAGAGAAAACAGAUAAUGUUUGAUUGGGCUUAGGACGUCGCCAAAGUGGAGAUUUGUUAUUUUUGGCUCAUCUCCUAUCCCACAUUAAAAGCUAAGAAAAAUAAGAAGUAAUCCCAAGUCUAUAAAUAGUGGGCCUUCUCUCCUUUUCAUGUUGUGGAAAAACAAUUGUCUUAAUAUUUCUAUAGGUUAAAUUGUAUUUCUUUUCUUUCUCUUCUUAAUAAUAUUUCCUUGUAAUUCUAUUGAAUUAAAAAAAAUUUAUUUUGGUAGAGCAUGAGGAAAUAAGCAUAAUUUUGAUUGAACCUCGUUAAAGUUCUGGUGUUCCUUUUCUUAUUGUUUAUUUAAUAGUUUAUUUGUCAGGUAAUUUUACAAGUGAUAUAUGGUACCUAUAAUUACCUAAGAACUUAUUUUUUAGUUGUAAUUUUUCGUAUAAUUUAUCCGAUUGCAGUGUAAACCAACCCGAAUUUCAGAGCACAAACCUGAAGCUAGAACCAAAUAACAAACAACCAAAACACCAGACCAAACCAAGAGCAGAUGAGCAGAAAACAAAAGGUCGAGGAAAGCACAGCAAAAACCAAGAGCAGGACAGCAGCGAGGCCGCCGUAAUUAUUAUAAGAAAGAAAGACAGAACUGUAGUAACUACAGAGCUGAGCAACGGAAAGAAACAAAAACACAAUAUCUACAGCAAGACAUAGUUUAUUAUUAUUGACACAAAAACAUGGAGUUAUUGCGUAUAGUACGUAUCACAUCAUAUCGUUUUACGUUAAUGGUAGAAGUGUCAUAAGGUAACCCUAUAUUACUAUUAAUGUGAUCCUAUAAAUAAAUAUUUUCCAAGUGUAAAGUGAAAUUUACUCAUAAACGUAAAACAAAAAAGAAAAAGCAAUCACCUCUUAAAUCGAAAGGAGGUCUAUCUCUCGAUCUGAAUAUAUUCACCCAAAUUUAUUCCCUGUAAAAGUAAACACAUAAAAUUCUUUUCUAUCAAGUAGUAGACAAAUAAUAAAACAAAGAAGCAUAAUAGCAGUAAUAAUAAUAAUAUUAUGAAAAAAAAACAGCAUGAAUAUCAAACUAAACAAAGAAUCAAAUAAUGGCCUGGUGCAGAGAGUUAGGUUGCCUAAUCCUAGGAAAUUGUUAGCCAUGUGGAGCGAUGGAAAUUGCUUAAUUCCCUUACUUUUACUUAUUACCCAAAAAGAAAAGAAAAAUCCUAUUAUUCUGACAAGAAAAUAAAUUAUCUACAAACACCUGAUAAUAGCAGCGGUGGAAGUACGUGUAGCUACUGCAAAGUCCCCUUGAGCAUGUGAAAUCUAUCUAUUGCUCUGGUUAAAGGGUUUUUGCAUCAAAUAUGUUCGACGAAGAAAGCCAGAAAAGAAAACAAACAAACAAACAAACAUUUGGCUUAUGCGAGGCAAUAAAAAUAAAACUACAAAGCAAAGCAAGGAUAAGGCAGACACAUAUGUAGAUAGGUGUCAAGGCAGGACGAGUUGUAGCUUCCGGCA